Molecule: precursor RNA, 984 nt
Filed under: Populus deltoides
Lineage: Eukaryota; Viridiplantae; Streptophyta; Magnoliopsida; Malpighiales; Salicaceae
Description: precursor microRNA pde-pre-miR164e
Rfam family: MIR164 microRNA precursor family (bases 212-368)
Source: RNAcentral
ACAUUCAUUUACCUCUUCUGUUAUAAAUUAGUGGACACCGCGUCCUGAAAAUUGCAGAUAGGUGUCCCAAAUUCACCAUUUUAAGAAAACUCCACUCCACCUCUCCCACCCCCUUUCUUUCUCACUCAUUUUCUUAUGUGAGAGAGGAGGUAGCUAGGCUGAGUUUCUAGCUAGAGCUAUAUCAGCGAUAUCAGGUGAAGAGAAGGUGUGUGUGAGCAAGAUGGAGAAGCAGGGCACGUGCAUUACUAACUCAUGCACACAGAGUGAGAGAGACAUUUCUUGCUGGAGUUAUGACUCUUACCUACUAUAGAUUUUGUUGGCUUCAGCGAGUUAGUUCUUCAUGUGCCUGUCUUCCCCAUCAUGAUCACUACCACACCUAUAUUAUUAGCUCAUCUGGGCACUUCAUAUAGGAUCGAGAAUCUCCUCUUCAGGGACUGAAUUCAUGCAUGCAGGUGAGUCAUAUUUAAACCCAUGUUAGGUAAUUAGCAUAAUUCUUGUUCUGUAUUUUUGUGGAGAGAAGUUAUGGCUCCAUAGGCAUUGCAUACCUAACCAUUUCUCCUUUUGUUCUCUUAUGGUCAAAAUACUAUGCGUAAAAAGCACUCCUCAUAUCAUAUGUUAUCGAAGAUACACAUACAAACAAAAAGAAAUAUGUGUGUGUGUAAUUAAAUAUAAUAUUUGUGAAGAUCAAGAAAAACAAUUCUUUGAAUGUGAGAAUAAAGAUCAAGAAAAGAUCUAUCCUCUACGUCUUGUUUUAUUGGAUAUAUUGUCAUAUUGCGAGUUCAAAGUCAGUGAGCGAUAUAUUUCUUCAAAAUCGUCAUGGUGGAUAAAGAUAAGCUUUGACUCAAUUAUUAGUAUCAUGAUCAGAGUUGAUUCAAGCUUAUUAUGACGCCGACAGUUUGAUUUCCAUCUCCAGCUGUGAAGUUUGAGCUAACCAUCGACAGAGGUAAUUAACUCUAUAAUCAUGAUUGAUGUUAUUUCACAGCC